GCAAAUUAUGCAUGUGGUGGAUGCCUUGGCAGUCAGAGGCGAUGAAAGACGUGAUAGCCCGCGAAAAAAGCUCCGGGGAGGCGGCAAAUAUCCUUUGAUCCGGAGAUGUCUGAAUGGGGAACCCACCUACUUUAAGGUAGGUAUUGCAACAUGAAUACAUAGUGUUGCAAGGCGAACGAGGGGAAGUGAAACAUCUCAGUACCCUUAGGAAAAGAAAUCAAUUGAGAUUCCCUCAGUAGCGGCGAGCGAACGGGGAUCAGCCCAUUAAGUUAUGUGUUUUAGUGGAACGCUCUGGGAAGUGCGAACGUAGAGGGUGAUAUUCCCGUACACGAAAGGGCACACAUAAUGAUGACGAGUAGGGCGAGGCACGUGAAACCUUGUCUGAAUAUGGGGGGACCAUCCUCCAAGGCUAAAUACUCCUGACUGACCGAUAGUGAACCAGUACCGUGAGGGAAAGGCGAAAAGAACCCCUGUGAGGGGAGUGAAAUAGAUCCUGAAACCGCAUGCAUACAAGCAGUGGGAGCACCUUCGUGGUGUGACUGCGUACCUUUUGUAUAAUGGGUCAGCGACUUAUAUUCAGUAGCAAGGUUAACCGUAUAGGGGAGCCGUAGAGAAAUCGAGUCUUAAUAGGGCGUUUAGUUGCUGGGUAUAGACCCGAAACCAGGCGAUCUAUCCAUGAGCAGGUUGAAGGUUGGGUCACUAACUGGAGGACCGAACCCACUGUCGUUGAAAAGCCAGGGGAUGACUUGUGGAUAGUGAAAGGCUAAUCCAGAAGCCUGGUGAUAGCUGGUUCCCUCCCCCGAAAGCCGAUGCAAGGUAGCGCCUCGGACGAAUACCAUAGGGUAGAGCACUGUUUCGGAGGGGUCAUCCCGGAUUUACCAAAACGAUGCAAACUCCGAAUACCUAUGAGUACUAUCCGAGACGGACUGCUAACGUCCGUAGUCAAGAGGAAAACAAUCCAGACCGCCAGCUAAGGCCCCAAAAUCAUAGUUAAGUGGGGAAACGAUGUGGGAAGGCAUAGACAGCUAGGAGGUUAUUUAGAAGCAGCCACCCUUUAAAGAAAGCGUAAUAGCUCACUUAGUCGAGUCGGCCUGCGCGGAAGAUGUAACGGUAGGGGAGCGCCCUGUAAGCCGAUGAAGGUGUAUUGAGAAGCAUGCUGGAGGUAUCAGAAGCGCGAAUGCUGACGUGAGUAACGACAAAACGGGUGAAAACCCGUUCGCCGAAAGACCAAGGGUUCCAGUCCAACGUUAAUCGGGGUGGGCCAACGACCCGGCGAGGCCGAAAGGCGUAGUCGAUGGGAAAAUGGUUAAUAUUCCAUUACUUCUGUGUAAUGCGAUGAGACGGGAGAAGGCUAAAUCAGCCUGGCGUUGUUAUUGUCCAGGUGAAAGGAUGUAGGCAUGUAUCUUAGGCAAAUCCGGGUACUCUAUGCUGAGAUCUGAUAGCAAGCUGUACUUGUACAGCGAAGUGGUUGAUGCCAUGCUUCCCAGGAAAAAAGUCUCUAAGCUUCAGUUACACAGGAAUCGUACCCGAAACCGACACAGGUGGUCAGGUCGAGCAGACCAAGGCGCUUGAGAACUCUGCUGAAGGAACUAGGGCAAAAUGGUACCGUAACUGGGAGAAGGUACGCUGUUGUUGGUGAUGGAACUCAAGCCCUGGAGCUGACGACAGCCGCAGAAACCAGGCCGCUGCAACUGUUUAUUAAAACAUAGCACUCUGCAAAACACGAAAGUGGACGUAUAGGGUGUGAUGCCCGGUGCUGGAAGGUUAAUUGAUGGGGUUAGCGUAAGCGAAGCUCUUUUGAUCGAAGCCCCAGCAAACGGCGGCCGUAACUAUAACGGUCCUAAGGUAGCGAAAUCUUUGUCGGGUAAGUUCCGACCUGCACGAAUGGCAUAAUGAUGGCGGCGCUGUCUCCAGCAGAGGCUCAGUGAAAUCGAAAUCGCUGUGAAGAUGCAGUGUACCCGCGGCUAGACGGAAAUCCCCCGUGAACCUUUACUGCAGCUUGACACUGAACUUUGACCUUUAUUUGUGGGAUAGGUGGGAGGUUUUGAAGCUGGAACGCUAGUUCCAGUGGAGCCGUCCUGAAAUACCAACCCCUGGUAAUGUUGAGGUUCUAACUCUGUCCCGUGAUCCGGGACGAGGACCGUGUCUGGUGGGUAGUUUGAUGGGCGGUCUCCUCCCAAAGAGUAACGGAGGAGUACGAAGGUGCGCCCAGCGUGGUCGGAAAUCACGCGUAGAGUAUAAAGGCAAAGCGCGCUUAACUGCGAGACCCACAAGUCGAGCAGGUACGAGCAGUCUUAGUGAUCCG
This 2305-nucleotide ribosomal RNA is filed under the name Acinetobacter baumannii. RNAcentral describes it as "23S ribosomal RNA". It matches the Rfam family "Bacterial large subunit ribosomal RNA", at positions 1 to 2422 of the family's 2925-position model. Lineage: Bacteria; Pseudomonadati; Pseudomonadota; Gammaproteobacteria; Moraxellales; Moraxellaceae. The record is from RNAcentral.